CCAAGAUGACCCGGUCCAGACUGAAACAGGCUGUACAGCAGGGACAGCGCCUGAACUGGGGCCUUCCAGCUGUGAGCGCGCUGAAGCCGCCUCAGUUCGUUGACAUCGAU
Molecule: long non-coding RNA, 110 nt
Organism: Fundulus heteroclitus (mummichog)
Lineage: Eukaryota; Metazoa; Chordata; Actinopteri; Cyprinodontiformes; Fundulidae
Exons: 3
Source: RefSeq, a predicted model, not a curated record